GAAACCACAAGAGCUUCGUAAAUUAUCUGAAAAUUGUAGUAAUAAAAAAAUAACUGACAUUUUAUUAUGGUCCUCAAUUUCUAAAAAUGCUAUUGACAAAUAUAAUGAGUUUAAAUAUUUUGAUGCAUUAUUAUUAUUAUCUUCUUUUGAUAAUAUGAAUUUUUAUGAUAAAAGCUUAUAUGAACAUUUUUCACAUAUAUUUAUAAAACAAAUACAUUUAUUCGAAGUUAAACAUUUGUUGUUAUUAAUAAAUUUAUAUUAUAAAGUAAAUCUAUUUCCACGUAUUUUAUUUAUACAAGUGUUUCAUUAUAUAGCCAAAAAUUGUAAUAAAUUUUACCCAGAUGAAUGUAAAGACAUAUUAAUAUGUUUCGCAAAACUACGAAUUAUGAAUAAAAAUUUAAUAAAAAUAUUAUGUAAGAAUAUUAUAAAAAAUAUUAAUCUUUAUGAUUAUUGUACUUUAUGUUGUAUUGUUGGUUCGUUGAGAUUGUUAAAUAUCAAUGAUGAUGUAUUUUAUUAUGUUAUAGAUGAAAAACAAGAAAAAGAAUUAAAAUUAUUAACAAUUCAGGAACUUUUUGAUAAUAUUAAAAAAAUAAAAUUAUUAGUAUAUUGUUGGGAAUUAUAUGAAAAAAAAUUAAUGAAUGAAUUUUUAACUCAAUUAAAUAAUUUCAAAAAUGAAAAAGAUGUUGAUCAAUUAGAUGAUCCAUUUAUUUGUUUAAAUUUUUUAGUAAGUAAAAAUUUAGUUAAUAAUAAUUUUUUAUUAGCAUUAAGUAAAUGGUGUUUAAAGCGAGUUUAUGAAUAUCCAAGUAGGUCAUCUAAAAGACCAUUGUCACAUGAAUUAAUAAAAUUAUAUGAAAUAAUGAAAGAAAAUAAUAUUCAAAAUUUUGAUUUUAUUGAAAAAGCAAUUCAUAGAUUUGUGAUUACACGAGGAGGUUUAGAAGUUAAUAGAGAUAAGAUGUGGAAACCGGUGUCAUACCAAAAGGGAAGAAAGUAUAUAUAUGCUAGUGACCCUUUGGGAAUCCCUGACGAGUUAGAUAUUCAUAGAACUGCUACUACCGGUCCUACUGCUAGUGAUGGUAGUGACAAUACUAACAUAACCACUGGGACAUUCAACAGCGAUAAUAAAAAUAAUAAUAUUGAUGAAUUAUUUUAUGGAUCGCAACAAAAAGAAACUGAUAGUGAUAAUAACAAAUAUGCAACAAGUGUAAAUUCUGAGAAAAAAAAAAUAAUAGAAUUAAGUUUAGAAAAAAAAACAGAAAAAAAAAAAAGUAGCCAAUCGAAUUCGAAAGACUGCAAUUUUAAAUUACGUCAAAGACCUAAACGAGUUAAAAAUAAGGCAUCCACGUCUGAGUACUAGCGUUUGGGGCUGAUCGUGUUGUGUUAGUGAGUAGGCAUGUCAGUCAGUGGGUGUGCAAGUGCACAAGUAAUGAAUGGCUAAUUAAAUAAAAACAUUCAGAAAUAAGAGAAAAGGACA
This 1471-nucleotide long non-coding RNA is filed under the name Piliocolobus tephrosceles (Ugandan red Colobus). RNAcentral describes it as "lncRNA (ENSPTEG00000001143.1)". Lineage: Eukaryota; Metazoa; Chordata; Mammalia; Primates; Cercopithecidae. The record is from RNAcentral.